AUGGAAUUGAGUUUGUCUCAUACGCUUCACCUUUUUAAUAUCUUUCGUGAGUAUGAUGGAAAGGAUAAUUGUGCUCAAGUGCUAGAAGAAGAAAUCUAUAAAAUGUUUGGCACUAAAUAUAUGAAUGAUGAGCAUGAUUGCAAUGUUGUUAGUAUGAAUUCCUUGAAUAUCCAUGAUGCUAAUGAUAUGCAAAGCCACAAGCUUGGGGAAGCUAUGUUUGAUGAAGAUGAUAUUUUUUGUCCGCCAAGUUUUGAUGCGCAAAUUUAUUAUGAUGAAAGCAUGCCUCCUAUUUAUGAUGAUUAUAUUGAUGAAAGUGGAUUUGGAGAGGUCAUGACUUUAUUUUGUGAUGAAUCCACUAUUCCGGAAAAGGUUCCAAUUGAUUAUGAGAACAAAGUUGCUAUCUAUGAUGAUUAUUGUGAUGACUUGUAUGCUAUAAAGAAUAAUGAUAUCCAUGAAACUUGUCAUCCUGAUUUUAGUUUUCAAUUGGAUUAUGCCUCACAUGAUAAUUAUUUUGUUGAGUUUGCUCCCACUAUUAUUCAUGAGAAGAAUUUUGCUUGUGUGGAGAGUAGUAAAUUUUCUAUGCUUGUAGAUCAUGAAAAGAAUGCUUUAGGUGCUGGUUAUAUUGUUGAAUUCAUUCAUGAUGCUACUGAAAAUUAUUAUGAGGGAGGAACAUAUGCUUGUAGGAAUUGCAAUAAUAUCAAGUUUCCUCUCUAUGUGCUUAAAAUUUUGAAGUUAUGCUUGUUUUACCUUCCUAUGCAAAUUGAUUCUUGUUCCCAUAAGUUGUUUGCUCACAAAAUCCCUAUGCAUAGGAAGUGGGUUGAACUUAAAUGUGCUAGUCAUAUUCUUCAUGGUGCUCUCUUUAUGUUUCAAUUCUUAUCUUUUAUGUGA
RNAcentral lists this ribosomal RNA (888 nucleotides) under Triticum aestivum (bread wheat). RNAcentral's name for it is "partial small subunit ribosomal RNA". Lineage: Eukaryota; Viridiplantae; Streptophyta; Magnoliopsida; Poales; Poaceae. The record is from RNAcentral.